GACGAACGCUGGCGGCGUGCCUAAUACAUGCAAGUAGAACGCUGAAGGAGGAGCUUGCUUCUCUGGAUGAGUUGCGAACGGGUGAGUAACGCGUAGGUAACCUGCCUGGUAGCGGGGGAUAACUAUUGGAAACGAUAGCUAAUACCGCAUAAGAGUGGAUGUUGCAUGACAUUUGCUUAAAAGGUGCACUUGCACCACUACCAGAUGGACCUGCGUUGUAUUAGCUAGUUGGUGGGGUAACGGCUCACCAAGGCGACGAUACAUAGCCGACCUGAGAGGGUGAUCGGCCACACUGGGACUGAGACACGGCCCAGACUCCUACGGGAGGCAGCAGUAGGGAAUCUUCGGCAAUGGACGGAAGUCUGACCGAGCAACGCCGCGUGAGUGAAGAAGGUUUUCGGAUCGUAAAGCUCUGUUGUAAGAGAAGAACGAGUGUGAGAGUGGAAAGUUCACACUGUGACGGUAUCUUACCAGAAAGGGACGGCUAACUACGUGCCAGCAGCCGCGGUAAUACGUAGGUCCCGAGCGUUGUCCGGAUUUAUUGGGCGUAAAGCGAGCGCAGGCGGUUAGAUAAGUCUGAAGUUAAAGGCUGUGGCUUAACCAUAGUAGGCUUUGGAAACUGUUUAACUUGAGUGCAAGAGGGGAGAGUGGAAUUCCAUGUGUAGCGGUGAAAUGCGUAGAUAUAUGGAGGAACACCGGUGGCGAAAGCGGCUCUCUGGCUUGUAACUGACGCUGAGGCUCGAAAGCGUGNGGAGCAAACAGG
This 763-nucleotide ribosomal RNA is filed under the name uncultured Streptococcus sp. RNAcentral's name for it is "bacterial SSU rRNA". It matches the Rfam family "Bacterial small subunit ribosomal RNA", at positions 28 to 776 of the family's 1533-position model. The record is from RNAcentral. Lineage: Bacteria; Bacillati; Bacillota; Bacilli; Lactobacillales; Streptococcaceae.